Molecule: Y RNA, 115 nt
Filed under: Propithecus coquereli (Coquerel's sifaka)
Lineage: Eukaryota; Metazoa; Chordata; Mammalia; Primates; Indriidae
Description: Y RNA (ENSPCOG00000011067.1)
Rfam family: Y RNA
About the family: Y RNAs are components of the Ro ribonucleoprotein particle (Ro RNP), in association with Ro60 and La proteins.
Source: Rfam by way of RNAcentral
GGCUGGUCCGAAGUUAGUGACUUAUCUCACUUGAUUGUUCACAGUCAGUUACAGAUUGAGCUCCUUGUUCUACUACUUAACCCCCCUCCUCACUACCGCACUUGACUAGUCUUAA